Molecule: unclassified non-coding RNA, 566 nt
Filed under: Hevea brasiliensis (rubber tree)
Lineage: Eukaryota; Viridiplantae; Streptophyta; Magnoliopsida; Malpighiales; Euphorbiaceae
Source: RNAcentral
CUCUUGGUCAUUUCCGCUAUCGCUGUCGCUGCCGGUGUCGCAUAAUAAUUUGCCACCAUCAUCAAUGUCUCAAUUCAGGCAGAAUUGGGGUUAUCGGGUAAAAUAGGAAUUGUCAUAUUCAUACCAAUUUAACCCUCCUUCUCCAAUGUCGAAAAAUGCAUAUCUGCGGCCGAACCCGCCGCUGAAUUCCUUGUAUCCACGUGCUCCUCCUCCUUUUUCAUCUCCUCCUCCACCUCUCUGACGCUGUGCCUACUUCCAGCUACUUCUCUUUUGUCUUUUUCUCCAUCGUCUCAGUCACUGUUUUGUUCGCGGAUAAAUUGACAUCCACCUCCGUCCCUUCCUCCACCUUCUCAUCCACGAUUCCAUCUACUUCUUCCUUCGUGUCCUUCCCCACCUUCUCAGACUGUUCGAUUUAAACAAAUAACUUCAUUGCCAGUUAAAUAUUCCAAUGGGACUAGGAAAGAAAGGAGGAUGAGGAAGAAGGAGGAAUUUGAAAAAUUAAGACAUAAACAACGAAUAAGGGAAGCACAGAUUAGAAUUGUGGAGAAAACCAAAUUGAAAUUUUU